ACCAGAAGUUAGGGGCUGCAGCGGCGCUGGCUUUAGGUGAACGACGUGAAAAUUACUUUUCCCACUGAAACACACCCAAGUAUAUGCCCAGCCUUCAUGAAAGUGAACAGAGAAACGAAGCGCCUUUAUGUGGGUGGCCUUAGCCAGGACAUUUCUGAGGCAGACCUACAAAAUCAGUUCAGCAGAUUUGGAGAAGUUUCGGAUGUGGAGAUCAUCACACGGAAAGAUGACCAAGGAAACCCACAGAAAGUUUUUGCAUAUAUCAACAUCAGUGUAGCAGAAGCGGACCUGAAAAAAUGUAUGUCUGUUUUAAAUAAAACAAAAUGGAAAGGUGGAACAUUACAAAUUCAACUAGCAAAAGAAAGCUUUCUGCACAGCAGUUGCCAGCCUACUGUGUACAGGCACUAGAGCCCCAUGCUGAGCAGGUUGAGCACACAGUGCUGCUGCUUGGAGUAUCUGCGUGGAUAUGCCUGAGAAGCAUGGGUCUGAUGGUUAUUCUGGGACAUAAAGGAGACAGACCAGAGGCAAAGAGGCCAGUGAGGACUGCUCUGUGCAGUUGUCCAGGC
Molecule: unclassified non-coding RNA, 566 nt
Filed under: Homo sapiens (human)
Lineage: Eukaryota; Metazoa; Chordata; Mammalia; Primates; Hominidae
Description: nucleolar protein 8 (ENSG00000291347.1)
Source: RNAcentral